This 591-nucleotide ribosomal RNA is filed under the name Escherichia coli. Its description in RNAcentral is "partial 23S ribosomal RNA". It matches the Rfam family "Bacterial large subunit ribosomal RNA", at positions 1085 to 1677 of the family's 2925-position model. Lineage: Bacteria; Pseudomonadati; Pseudomonadota; Gammaproteobacteria; Enterobacterales; Enterobacteriaceae. The record is from RNAcentral.
CCAGACAGCCAGGAUGUUGGCUUAGAAGCAGCCAUCAUUUAAAGAAAGCGUAAUAGCUCACUGGUCGAGUCGGCCUGCGCGGAAGAUGUAACGGGGCUAAACCAUGCACCGAAGCUGCGGCAGCGACGCUUAUGCGUUGUUGGGUAGGGGAGCGUUCUGUAAGCCUGCGAAGGUGUGCUGUGAGGCAUGCUGGAGGUAUCAGAAGUGCGAAUGCUGACAUAAGUAACGAUAAAGCGGGUGAAAAGCCCGCUCGCCGGAAGACCAAGGGUUCCUGUCCAACGUUAAUCGGGGCAGGGUGAGUCGACCCCUAAGGCGAGGCCGAAAGGCGUAGUCGAUGGGAAACAGGUUAAUAUUCCUGUACUUGGUGUUACUGCGAAGGGGGGACGGAGAAGGCUAUGUUGGCCGGGCGACGGUUGUCCCGGUUUAAGCGUGUAGGCUGGUUUUCCAGGCAAAUCCGGAAAAUCAAGGCUGAGGCGUGAUGACGAGGCACUACGGUGCUGAAGCAACAAAUGCCCUGCUUCCAGGAAAAGCCUCUAAGCAUCAGGUAACAUCAAAUCGUACCCCAAACCGACACAGGUGGUCAGGUAGAGA